This 498-nucleotide ribosomal RNA is filed under the name uncultured bacterium. RNAcentral's name for it is "bacterial SSU rRNA". It matches the Rfam family "Bacterial small subunit ribosomal RNA", at positions 16 to 507 of the family's 1533-position model. The record is from RNAcentral.
AUCAUGGCUCAGGAUGAACGCUAGCGGCAGGCUUAAUACAUGCAAGUCGUGGGGCAGCGCAGUGUAGCAAUACAUGGGCGGCGACCGGCAAACGGGUGCGGAACACGUACACAACCUUCCUACAAGUGGGGAAUAGCCCAGAGAAAUUUGGAUUAAUACCCCGUAACAUAUAAAGAUGGCAUCAUUUUUAUAUUAUAGCUACGGCGCUUGUUGAUGGGUGUGCGGCUGAUUAGGUAGUUGGCGGGGUAAUGGCCCACCAAGCCUGCGAUCAGUAGCUGAUGUGAGAGCAUGAUCAGCCACACGGGCACUGAGACACGGGCCCGACUCCUACGGGAGGCAGCAGUAAGGAAUAUUGGACAAUGGGCGCAAGCCUGAUCCAGCCAUGCCGCGUGAAGGAUUAAGGUCCUCUGGAUUGUAAACUUCUUUUAUAAGGGACGAAAAAAGGGAAUUCUUUCUCACUUGACGGUACCUUAUGAAUAAGCACCGGCUAACUCCGUG